CAGGCUUAACACAUGCAAGUCGAGGGGCAGCAUUUUAGUUUGCUUGCAAACUGAAGAUGGCGACCGGCGCACGGGUGAGUAACACGUGUCCAACCUGCCGAUAACUCCGGAAUAGCCUUUCGAAAGAAAGAUUAAUACCGGAUAGCAUACGAAUAUCGCAUGAUAUUUUUAUUAAAGAAUUUCGGUUAUCGAUGGGGAUGCGUUCCAUUAGUUUGUUGGCGGGGUAACGGCCCACCAAGACUACGAUGGAUAGGGGUUCUGAGAGGAAGGUCCCCCACAUUGGAACUGAGACACGGUCCAAACUCCUACGGGAGGCAGCAGUGAGGAAUAUUGGUCAAUGGGCGAGAGCCUGAACCAGCCAAGUAGCGUGAAGGAUGAAGGCUCUAUGGGUCGUAAACUUCUUUUAUAUGGGAAUAAAGUUUUCCACGUGUGGAAUUUUGUAUGUACCAUAUGAAUAAGGAUCGGCUAACUCCGUGCCAGCAGCCGCGGUAAUACGGAGGAUCCGAGCGUUAUCCGGAUUUAUUGGGUUUAAAGGGAGCGUAGGUGGAUUGUUAAGUCAGUUGUGAAAGUUUGCGGCUCAACCGUAAAAUUGCAGUUGAAACUGGCAGUCUUGAGUACAGUAGAGGUGGGCGGAAUUCGUGGUGUAGCGGUGAAAUGCUUAGAUAUCACGAAGAACUCCGAUUGCGAAGGCAGCUCACUAGACUGUCACUGACACUGAUGCUCGAAAGUGUGGGUAUCAAACAGGAUUAGAUACCCUGGUAGUCCACACAGUAAACGAUGAAUACUCGCUGUUUGCGAUAUACAGUAAGCGGCCAAGCGAAAGCAUUAAGUAUUCCACCUGGGGAGUACGCCGGCAACGGUGAAACUCAAAGGAAUUGACGGGGGCCCGCACAAGCGGAGGAACAUGUGGUUUAAUUCGAUGAUACGCGAGGAGCCUUACCCGGGCUUAAAUUGCAACAGAAUAUAUUGGAAACAGUAUAGCCGUAAGGCUGUUGUGAAGGUGCUGCAUGGUUGUCGUCAGCUCGUGCCGUGAGGUGUCGGCUUAAGUGCCAUAACGAGCGCAACCCUUAUCUUUAGUUACUAACAGGUCAUGCUGAGGACUCUAGAGAGACUGCCGUCGUAAGAUGUGAGGAAGGUGGGGAUGACGUCAAAUCAGCACGGCCCUUACGUCCGGGGCUACACGCGUGUUACAAUGGGGGGUACAGAAGGCGGCUACCUGGUGACAGGAUGCUAAUCCCAAAAACCUCUCUCAGUUCGGAUCGAAGUCUGCAACCCGACUUCGUGAAGCUGGAUUCGCUAGUAAUCGCGCAUCAGCCAUGGCGCGGUGAAUACGUUCCCGGGCCUUGUACACACCGCCCGUCAAGCCAUGAAAGCCGGGGGUACCUGAAGUACGUAACCGCAAGGAGCGUCCUAGGGUAAAACUGGUAAUUGGGGCUAAGUC
This 1441-nucleotide ribosomal RNA is filed under the name uncultured organism. RNAcentral's name for it is "16S ribosomal RNA". It matches the Rfam family "Bacterial small subunit ribosomal RNA". The record is from RNAcentral.